RNAcentral lists this long non-coding RNA (236 nucleotides) under Elaeis guineensis (African oil palm). RNAcentral describes it as "long non-coding RNA (EGUI_LNC057197)". The record is from RNAcentral. Lineage: Eukaryota; Viridiplantae; Streptophyta; Magnoliopsida; Arecales; Arecaceae.
UGUGUAGCUCGUUGCUUUCUCUUUUUCUCUCCUUUUUUUUUUAUGUUUAGGCGAGGGUUUUUCCUCUGCUCCUAAUGGAGUUGUAGGGGUGUAGAGGAGCCAUUGAGGAGGCUUUUCUCCUCAUCCGGUCUAAAAAAAUUAGAUCUUCAUUUGUGUCAGGAUGAGGUUCUCCUCUUGUUCCCAACACAAUCAAUUUCAGCUCAUGUUAGGAUGAGAUUUUUCUCCUAUUCCUAAUA